UACGUAGGGGGCUAGCGUUGUCCGGAAUCAUUGGGCGUAAAGCGCGUGUAGGCGGUCCGGUAAGUCCGCUGUGAAAGUCGGGGGCUCAACCCUCGGAUGCCGGUGGAUACUGUCGGGCUUGAGUACUAAAGAGGGUCGCGGAAUUCCCGGUGUAGAGGUGAAAUUCGUAGAUAUCGGGAGGAACACCGGUGGCGAAGGCGGCGACCUGGGUAGAUACUGACGCUGAGGCGCGAAAGCGUGGGGAGCAAACAGG
This 253-nucleotide ribosomal RNA is filed under the name uncultured bacterium. Its description in RNAcentral is "partial 16S ribosomal RNA". It matches the Rfam family "Bacterial small subunit ribosomal RNA", at positions 524 to 776 of the family's 1533-position model. The record is from RNAcentral.